Molecule: small nucleolar RNA, 113 nt
Organism: Lolium rigidum
Lineage: Eukaryota; Viridiplantae; Streptophyta; Magnoliopsida; Poales; Poaceae
Product: small nucleolar RNA U19
Exons: 1
Source: RefSeq, a predicted model, not a curated record
UCUUGGCUUAGUUAGGAGGCGCAUACGAAAUGAGCAUUUCAUGCUUAUCCAGGUCGUUUGAGGGGCACUCAUCUGUAUUAACUAGAUGUGCUCCCAAGCAGCCUGUGACAUGU